CUACCCAGAGUUAGGGGGAGUUUGUUGCGAAGAGUAGUGGGGAGGAAUCGUGGCUAUCACCGGGACACGCCACGAGGAGUCUGUUGCGGGGAGUGGAGCGGCGUCUGUUGUCGCGACUUGCCAGACGAUGGAAGAAUCAUGCGGUAUCCAUCGCAGGAAGUGGAGCAGGAUCGUGGGCAUCAUAGCGAUCUGUCAGGGAGUAAUGGGGCCGUGCGGAAUCCAUCGUAGGAAGUGGAGCAGGAUCGUGGUCGUUGCUGCGUCACGCCAGGGAGUGCAGACCUGUCGGAUGAAGUUCGGCUGGAGCAUCUGGCGGAGAUAGGUGGUUAGCUAUUCGUUUGAGAGGAGCCCAGAGUCUG
Molecule: long non-coding RNA, 356 nt
Filed under: Elaeis guineensis (African oil palm)
Lineage: Eukaryota; Viridiplantae; Streptophyta; Magnoliopsida; Arecales; Arecaceae
Description: long non-coding RNA (EGUI_LNC054139)
Source: RNAcentral